Molecule: non-coding RNA, 831 nt
Organism: Taeniopygia guttata (zebra finch)
Lineage: Eukaryota; Metazoa; Chordata; Aves; Passeriformes; Estrildidae
Source: RefSeq, a predicted model, not a curated record
UGUGGGACUUUUCCCAAAAAUAGCUGUGUAACAUUCCAGAACAUCAGCCUUGUUUGAUGCAUAACCAGAUCACAUCCCAGCACUAGCUCUCAGAUGAGAAAAGACAAAAAAUUGAGAAUGAGGAAAACCUUCUGACACUGACUGACUGCAGCUGAUAAUCGAUGCUGUCACCUCCCUCUCUAGCCUAGAGGAACUGGGGUUUGCUGCAGGAUGCACUGCUGUGUUCUACUUCAGACCUGCUCCAUUUCCAGGAGGAAUAAAGCUAUAACCUUCCAAUUGUACAGAAAAAGGUUAUAAGAAUCAUCAAGCCCACAAAGAAACUCUCAGAUGAAGGGACUGAAAUAAUAGUGUUUGCCUCAGGAAACAAAUGAAAAAUCAUAUUGAAUACUUGGCAAAAUUAAAGAAGAAUUAGUCAUCUCUAAGAAUAUCACAGUAUCUAGAGUUCCUACAUUAAACAGUACCAAGGACUUCAAAACAUUUCCCAGAUUAGACUGUAGCUAUUGCAGGUGAAUUUAAAGAAGUCUGAGGUGUCCUAACACCUGCCACAAUCUGAACCAGCUUAUAGGAUUCCACUUGGAUCUGACAGCAAUUUUGCUGUUGCUAUGGAAACAUUCCCAUUCCUUUAAAACCUUAGGAGGUCUGUAUCUCCUUAAGCCACUCAUGUGUAUUUUGUUGGCCUUUACUUCUGCUCCACCACCUCAAAGAAAAGAAUCUGAGCUAUUCCUAACACUUAACCUCCCACAACCAGCAUCACAUAAAUUAAAACCUAUGAUGAAAGGUUAUCCUUGAAAUAAUUCUCCUAGCUUGGCCUGGCUUUCCAGUAGCCAUCCA